GGCGGUCAUCCGCCGAGCCGCAGCAGGAGCCGGGGACCCACCGCGCACGCGCGAGGAACGGCGUACGCACCCGGGGUGAAUCGGGAAGUCGCACCGCGGAAGCACCGCGAACGACCCGUAGGGCAGCCUUCCGACGGCCCGAACCCGUCAGCUAACCCGGUAGGCGGUUCACGGAAGGAGUU
RNAcentral lists this small RNA (182 nucleotides) under Streptomyces abyssalis. RNAcentral describes it as "c-di-AMP sequence". It matches the Rfam family "c-di-AMP riboswitch aptamer (ydaO/yuaA leader)". From Rfam's summary of the family: This family represents a conserved RNA structure found upstream of the ydaO and yuaA genes in Bacillus subtilis and related genes in other bacteria. The ydaO/yuaA element is thought to act as a genetic "off" switch for the ydaO and yuaA genes in its native state. Lineage: Bacteria; Bacillati; Actinomycetota; Actinomycetes; Kitasatosporales; Streptomycetaceae. The record is from Rfam by way of RNAcentral.